UUGGGCGUCGCCACCUCGUUUGUCGGCCGGCGCGGCGGCGAGACACACCGUGUCGGUGCCGAGAUGUCUACUUCCCUGUCGUCGUCUCACAAGCGUGGCCGCGACGUCGACGCUGCGCCGUCGGCACUGUGGGUCCGGAUGGACAAGGAGUUCCUCGCCGCCCAAGGCCUCCUUAAGAGAGCCAGGCUCUUGCCCCGUCUCCGUUCCGCUGGCCCCUCCGCCGCCGACAAGAAGAAAUGCGCGCCAGCGCCAGCGUCACGACGAUCAGGGGCUCCUGAAGUUGUGCCAUCGACAGCACCAAAGCGGACGACGUCGUCGCAACCCAAGGCACUGAAGGCAGCAACGGAGGCUGCGGAUCGGACUCGGAUCGCCGCACCAGCAGCGAAUUCGACGCAGCAGCAGCGCGCAGGCGCAGCCGCCAAGAACCCGAUCCCUCCGGCAGUUCGUCCUAGCAAGAACCUGCCACCUGCCGAGGCACCAGCAGCAGCGAAUUCGAAGCAGCAGCAGCGCGCAGGCGCAGCCGCCAAGAACCCGAUCCAUCCGGCAGUUCGUCCUAGCAAGAACCUGCCACCGGCCGAGGCACCAGCAGCAGCGAAGCAGCAGCAGCACCCGGCGGUCCAGCGUGCAGUUGCUGCCGAGACGGAGAAGUCGGCGCUGCCUGAUGAGAUCGAGAAGUCAAGGAAAGAGUUCCGCCGGAUGCUGGAGGAGAUGGAGAAGUUGGCGCUGCCUGAUCAGACGAUAUACCCAGAGGACCUAGAGGAGCUCGGCCUCACGCCAGUCGAACAUGUCGUGACGAGGACGAGGAAGCAGGCAAGGGGCUAUUUCGCAAAAUCAACAUCUCCUACCUCCAUCUCCUUCCUCACCAACCAUGGCAAGGGGAGUGGGCUGCUCGGCGCGGGGGGCUCGGCCGCGGGCGAGGGCGGGCCAGGGGCACGGGUCGGGGGGGAGCUAGCGCCAACCGAGGCGAGUGGUGGGCGGGGCGCGCGCGGGGGUGCCGGCUUGGCCACGGCCAUCGCAGGAGGGGGCUGCAGGAAGGGGGAAGAGGGGAGGGGGGCUGCGGACAUGAAGAAGAAAACGAAGAAACCUCCAUAA
Molecule: unclassified non-coding RNA, 1092 nt
Filed under: Zea mays
Lineage: Eukaryota; Viridiplantae; Streptophyta; Magnoliopsida; Poales; Poaceae
Description: misc RNA Zm00001eb401860
Source: RNAcentral